AUGCUUCUAGCGCCUUCCAUAUUUCCUUUUAUAAUUUUUUUUCCUGGAAGCAAAAUUCCCAGGGCGGUGGGGAGAGAAGAGAUGGGGCCCGAAAGGAGCUGUGGGCUUGUGCUCACGUGGGAAGUGUACCCGUUGCCUGAUACGUCCAUCGUAGGCUGACUCGGAUGGGUCCCGCCAUUUAACUAGCUACCAGUAUACUUUAUCGUGGGCGCAUCCUUCCAACUUUUUAUCCACGUACCACAGAAAAACCAUUUUAUUUUUAAUUUUUAAUCAUUGUAUAGUACUACUCGUACAACGAUCGGUUGGUCGUUG
This 312-nucleotide long non-coding RNA is filed under the name Brachypodium distachyon (stiff brome). RNAcentral's name for it is "long non-coding RNA (BDIS_LNC005699)". Lineage: Eukaryota; Viridiplantae; Streptophyta; Magnoliopsida; Poales; Poaceae. The record is from RNAcentral.